Molecule: long non-coding RNA, 444 nt
Organism: Hibiscus syriacus
Lineage: Eukaryota; Viridiplantae; Streptophyta; Magnoliopsida; Malvales; Malvaceae
Exons: 3
Source: RefSeq, a predicted model, not a curated record
UCUCGACCAAGCCCCCUAGGGUUUAUCUAGGUUGCUCAUCUCUACCGUUCAUCUCGUGUAUUCGGCCAAUGGCGAAGCCGACGAGGGCCCGUCGAUCACCUUCUGUAUCCGGCUCUGGUUCCUCUUCCCGUUCUCGUUCACGGUCCCGCUCUUAUCCGGCUCAGAUUCCAAUCCAGUUCUCGCUCUGGUUCCCGCUCCAGAUCUGCUUCCCCAUCUCGCUCUCGCUCCAAAUCUUUCUCAUCUUCCUCUCGUAGCGGUAGUUCCCGAAGUCGCAGCCCCUCCUCAGCGUCGAAGUCAGGCUGAUGCAUCUAAGCGAGGUCGUUCCCCCUCCACAAUCUAAGAAGGCAUCUCCUGCUCCAAGGAAGACUUCUCCUAUCCGUGAGUCUCUGGUCUUUAUGUUGACUCAUGAGCAGGAAUGUUAAUGAAGGCAUCUAAGAGAAAUAU